This 620-nucleotide ribosomal RNA is filed under the name Microbacterium sp. I12A-00785. Its description in RNAcentral is "bacterial SSU rRNA". It matches the Rfam family "Bacterial small subunit ribosomal RNA", at positions 92 to 726 of the family's 1533-position model. The record is from RNAcentral. Lineage: Bacteria; Bacillati; Actinomycetota; Actinomycetes; Micrococcales; Microbacteriaceae.
UCAGUGGCGAACGGGUGAGUAACACGUGAGCAACCUGCCCUGGACUCUGGGAUAAGCGCUGGAAACGGUGUCUAAUACUGGAUAUGAGACGUGAUCGCAUGGUCGUGUUUGGAAAGAUUUUUCGGUCUGGGAUGGGCUCGCGGCCUAUCAGCUUGUUGGUGAGGUAAUGGCUCACCAAGGCGUCGACGGGUAGCCGGCCUGAGAGGGUGACCGGCCACACUGGGACUGAGACACGGCCCAGACUCCUACGGGAGGCAGCAGUGGGGAAUAUUGCACAAUGGGCGAAAGCCUGAUGCAGCAACGCCGCGUGAGGGAUGACGGCCUUCGGGUUGUAAACCUCUUUUAGCAGGGAAGAAGCGAAAGUGACGGUACCUGCAGAAAAAGCGCCGGCUAACUACGUGCCAGCAGCCGCGGUAAUACGUAGGGCGCAAGCGUUAUCCGGAAUUAUUGGGCGUAAAGAGCUCGUAGGCGGUUUGUCGCGUCUGCUGUGAAAUCCCGAGGCUCAACCUCGGGCCUGCAGUGGGUACGGGCAGACUAGAGUGCGGUAGGGGAGAUUGGAAUUCCUGGUGUAGCGGUGGAAUGCGCAGAUAUCAGGAGGAACACCGAUGGCGAAGGCAGAU